Molecule: ribosomal RNA, 249 nt
Filed under: uncultured prokaryote
Description: partial 16S ribosomal RNA
Rfam family: Bacterial small subunit ribosomal RNA
Source: RNAcentral
UACGUAGGGAGCAAGCGUUAUCCGGAUUCAUUGGGCGUAAAGCGCGCGUAGGCGGCUUAUUAAGUCAGCGGUGAAAUUUUGCAGCUUAACUGUAACAGUGCCGUUGAUACUGGGGAGCUAGGAUUUGGUUGCUGUGGGUGGAAUGUGUGGUGUAGCGGUGAAAUGCUUAGAGAUCACACAGAAUAUCGAUUGCGAAGGCAGCUCACAAAGCCAAGAUUGACGCUGAGGCACGAAAGUGUGGGGAUCAAA